This 253-nucleotide ribosomal RNA is filed under the name uncultured bacterium. RNAcentral's name for it is "partial 16S ribosomal RNA". It matches the Rfam family "Bacterial small subunit ribosomal RNA", at positions 524 to 776 of the family's 1533-position model. The record is from RNAcentral.
UACGAACUGUGCGAACGUUAUUCGGAAUCACUGGGCUUACAGGGUGCGUAGGCGGCUUGUUAAGUAGGGUGUGAAAGCCCCCGGCUCAACCGGGGAAUGGCGCCCUAAACUGGCGAGCUGGAGUGAGAUAGGGGUGUGUGGAACUUCCGGUGGAGCGGUGAAAUGUGUUGAUAUCGGAAGGAACGCCGGUGGCGAAAGCGGGUCUCUGGGCCGUAACUGACGCUGAGGAGCGAAAGCGUGGGGAGCGAACAGG